RNAcentral lists this ribosomal RNA (292 nucleotides) under uncultured bacterium. RNAcentral describes it as "partial 16S ribosomal RNA". It matches the Rfam family "Bacterial small subunit ribosomal RNA", at positions 505 to 796 of the family's 1533-position model. The record is from RNAcentral.
GUGUCAGCCGCCGCGGUAAGACGAACUGUGCAAACGUUAUUCGGAAUCACUGGGCUUAAAGGGUGCGUAGGCGGUCUUGUAAGUAGGGUGUGAAAGCCCCCGGCUCAACCGGGGAACUGCGUCCUAAACUGCGAGGCUAGAGUGAGGUAGGGGUGUGUGGAACUUCCAGUGGAGCGGUGAAAUGUGUUGAUAUUGGAAGGAACGCCGGUGGCGAAAGCGACACACUGGACCUUGUCUGACGCUGAGGCACGAAAGCCAGGGGAGCAAACGGGAUUAGAAACCCCCGUAGUCC